This 653-nucleotide ribosomal RNA is filed under the name uncultured archaeon. RNAcentral's name for it is "bacterial SSU rRNA". It matches the Rfam family "Archaeal small subunit ribosomal RNA", at positions 102 to 758 of the family's 1478-position model. The record is from RNAcentral.
AGUCAACAUGCCCAGGGGACGUGGAUAACCUCGGGAAACUGAGGAUAAACCGCGACAGGCCAAGAUUUCUGGAAUGAAUCAUGGUUUAAAUCUAUAUGGCCCCUGGAUUGGACUGCGGCCGAUCAGGCUGUUGGUGAGGUAAUGGCCCACCAAACCUGUAACCGGUACGGGCUCUGAGAGGAGGAGCCCGGAGAUGGGCACUUAGACAAGGGCCCAGGCCCUAUGGGGCGCAGCAGGCGCGAAACCUCUGCAAUAAGCGAAAGCUUGACAGGGUUACUCUGAGUGAUUUCCGCUAAGGAAGUCUUUUGGCACCUCUAAAAAUGGUGCAGAAUAAGGGGUGGGCAAGUCUGGUGUCAGCCGCCGCGGUAAUACCAGCACCCCGAGUGGUCGGGACGAUUAUUGGGCCUAAAGCAUCCGUAGCCGGUCCUGCAAGUCCUCCGUUAAAUCCACCCGCUCAACGGUUGGGCCGCGGGGGAUACUACAGGGCUAGGAGGCGGGAGAGGCAAGCGGUACUCGAUGGGUAGGGGUAAAAUCCACUGAUCCAUUGAAGACCACCAGUGGCGAAGGCGGCUUGCCAGAACGCGCUCGACGGUGAGGGAUGAAAGCUGGGGGAGCAAACCGGAUUAGAUACCCGGGUAGUCCCAGCUGUAAAC